CCUACGGGUGACAGCAGUGAGGAAUAUUGGUCAAUGGGCGCGAGCCUGAACCAGCCAAGUAGCGUGAGGGAAGACGGCCCUAUGGGUUGUAAACUUCUUUUAUCCGGGAAUAAAGGGCGUCACGUGUGGCGUUUUGAGAGUACCGUAUGAAUAAGCAUCGGCUAAUUCCGUGCCAGCAGCCGCGGUAAUACGGAGGAUCCGAGCGUUAUCCGGAUUUAUUGGGUUUAAAGGGUGCGUAGGCCGGAUGUCAAGUCAGCGGUGAAAUUUGCGGGCUCAACCCGGGUCUUGCAGUGACAACUGGCGUGCUUGAGUACGUGUGAAGUAGGCGGAAUUCGUGGUGUAGCGGUGAAAUGCUUAGAUAGGACGAAGAACCCCGAUUGCGAAGGCAGCUUGCCGCAGCGGAACUGACGCUGAUGCUCGAAAGUGCGGGUAUCGAACAGGAUUAGAUACCCCAGUAGUC
Molecule: ribosomal RNA, 460 nt
Filed under: uncultured bacterium
Lineage: Bacteria
Description: partial 16S ribosomal RNA
Rfam family: Bacterial small subunit ribosomal RNA
Source: RNAcentral